UUAAAACACAGUCUAAAGAAAUUCAGCUUCCCCAAUAGUCAGAAGGUUUUUGUACCAGCGGUAAUAGGGAUUGUAUCACUGUGGUACACUUUUGGUAGUGGCACCAGACUUGAUGUUGGAAGUAACAGUGCCCCCACCCUCACCGUCCUGCCCCCCUCUAGUGAGGAGCUGUCCAGUACAACAACAGCCACACUGACAUGUCUGGCCAACAAGGGCUUCCCCUCAGACUGGACCAUGAGCUGGAAAGUGGACGGGACCAACAAGAACCAGGAGACCAGUCCCGGGGUCCUGGAGAAGGAUGGUCUGUACAGCUGGAGCAGCACCCUGACUCUCACUGCCCAGGAGUGGACCAAGGCAGGAGAGGUGACCUGUGAAGCCCAGCAGAAAUCCCAGACUCCAGUCACCAAGACCCUGAGGAAGGCUGACUGUUCUGGGUAGGACCCCUCAGUCACACCCCUGUGGAGAGAGGCUGCUGGUUCCUCUGCUUUGACUCUGUUCUGAGAUCAGAUUUUCUCUGCCUUAUUGAUCACUGACAUGUAGACUAACAUAGGGCUUUGCUUGAGUUCAUGUGUCAAUCAUCUCUGUAGACUGAGGUUGUAUCAUUGUUAGAUGUGAUGUGUUCUGUUUUAUUACUAUUAGAUACUGUAGGAAUGUUUGCUUUGAUGAUAAAUAUAUGAAAAUAAAGAUUUCCCUUUGGAACAAAUA
Oncorhynchus mykiss (rainbow trout) is the source of this 705-nucleotide non-coding RNA. The record is from the annotation of a RefSeq genome assembly. NCBI's taxonomy places the organism in Eukaryota, Metazoa, Chordata, Actinopteri, Salmoniformes, Salmonidae.